Molecule: ribosomal RNA, 450 nt
Filed under: uncultured bacterium
Lineage: Bacteria
Description: partial 16S ribosomal RNA
Rfam family: Bacterial small subunit ribosomal RNA
Source: RNAcentral
GUGGGGAAUCUUCCGCAAUGGACGAAAGUCUGACGGAGCAACGCCGCGUGAGUGAAGAAGGUUUUCGGAUCGUAAAGCUCUUUCGUUAGGGACGAACGUGCUCUUUGUGAAUAAUGAGGAGUAAUGACGGUACCUAAAUAAGAAGCCACGGCUAACUACGUGCCAGCAGCCGCGGUAAUACGUAGUUGGCAAGCGUUGUCCGGAAUUAUUGGGCGUAAAGCGCGCGCAGGCGGGAUAUCAAGUCUGUCUUAAAAGUGCGAGGCUCAACCUCGUGAGGGGACAGAAACUGGUAUUCUUGAGUGUCGGAGAGGAAAGUGGAAUUCCAAGUGUAGCGGUGAAAUGCGUAGAGAUUUGGAAGAACACCAGUGGCGAAGGCGACUUUCUGGACGAUGUCUGACGCUGAGGCGCGAAAGCUAGGGGAGCGAACGGGAUUAGAUACCCCGGUAGUCC